GAUGCCCCACUCGCCGGUGC
This 20-nucleotide unclassified non-coding RNA is filed under the name Chlamydomonas reinhardtii. Its description in RNAcentral is "small RNA Cre_1634". The record is from RNAcentral. Lineage: Eukaryota; Viridiplantae; Chlorophyta; Chlorophyceae; Chlamydomonadales; Chlamydomonadaceae.